Molecule: ribosomal RNA, 481 nt
Filed under: uncultured bacterium
Lineage: Bacteria
Description: partial 16S ribosomal RNA
Rfam family: Bacterial small subunit ribosomal RNA
Source: RNAcentral
UUGAACGCUGGCGGCAUGCUUUACACAUGCCAGUCGCACGGUAACAGGCCGCAAGGUGCUGACGAGUGGCGAACGGGUGAGUAAUGCAUCGGAACGUGCCCAGUCGUGGGGGAUAACUACUCGAAAGAGUAGCUAAUACCGCAUACGAUCUAUGGAUGAAAGCGGGGGACCGUCAGGCCUCGCGCGAUUGGAGCGGCCGAUGUCAGAUUAGGUAGUUGGUGGGGUAAAGGCUCACCAAGCCAACGAUCUGUAGCUGGUCUGAGAGGACGACCAGCCACACUGGGACUGAGACACGGCCCAGACUCCUACGGGAGGCAGCAGUGGGGAAUUUUGGACAAUGGGCGCAAGCCUGAUCCAGCAAUGCCACGUGCAGGAAGAAGGCCUUCGGGUUGUAAACUGCUUUUGUACGGAACGAAACGGCUCUGGUUAAUACCCGGGGCUAAUGACGGUACCGUAAGAAUAAGCACCGGCUAACUACGUG